Molecule: ribosomal RNA, 497 nt
Filed under: uncultured bacterium
Lineage: Bacteria
Description: partial 16S ribosomal RNA
Rfam family: Bacterial small subunit ribosomal RNA
Source: RNAcentral
GACGAACGCUGGCGGCGUGCCUAAUACAUGCAAGUUGAGCGCUGAAGGUUGGUACUUGUACCAACUGGAUGAGCAGCGAACGGGUGAGUAACGCGUGGGGAAUCUGCCUUUGAGCGGGGGACAACAUUUGGAAACGAAUGCUAAUACCGCAUAAAAACUUUAAACACAAGUUUUAAGUUUGAAAGAUGCAAUUGCAUCACUCAAAGAUGAUCCCGCGUUGUAUUAGCUAGUUGGUGAGGUAAAGGCUCACCAAGGCGAUGAUACAUAGCCGACCUGAGAGGGUGAUCGGCCACAGUGGGACUGAGACACGGCCCAAACUCCUACGGGAGGCAGCAGUAGGGAAUCUUCGGCAAUGGACGAAAGUCUGACCGAGCAACGCCGCGUGAGUGAAGAAGGUUUUCGGAUCGUAAAACUCUGUUGGUAGAGAAGAACGUUGGUGAGAGUGGAAAGCUCAUCAAGUGACGGUAACUACCCAGAAGGGGACGGCUAACUACGUG